AUUGAACGCUGGCGGCAUGCUUUACACAUGCAAGUCGAACGGCAGCGCGGGCUUCGGCCUGGCGGCGAGUGGCGAACGGGUGAGUAAUGCAUCGGAACGUGCCCAGUAGUGGGGGAUAGCCCGGCGAAAGCCGGAUUAAUACCGCAUACGACCUGAGGGUGCAAGCGGGGGACCGAAAGGCCUCGCGCUAUUGGAGCGGCCGAUGUCGGAUUAGCUAGUUGGUGGGGUAAAGGCUUACCAAGGCGACGAUCCGUAGCUGGUCUGAGAGGACGACCAGCCACACUGGGACUGAGACACGGCCCAGACUCCUACGGGAGGCAGCAGUGGGGAAUGUUGGACAAUGGGGGCAACCCUGAUCCAGCCAUGCCGCGUGCGGGAAGAAGGCCUUCGGGUUGUAAACCGCUUUUGUUCGGGAAGAAAUCCUCUGGGCUAAUACCCCGGGGGGAUGACGGUACCGGAAGAAUAAGCACCGGCUAACUACGUG
RNAcentral lists this ribosomal RNA (484 nucleotides) under uncultured bacterium. RNAcentral's name for it is "partial 16S ribosomal RNA". It matches the Rfam family "Bacterial small subunit ribosomal RNA", at positions 28 to 507 of the family's 1533-position model. The record is from RNAcentral.